This 364-nucleotide ribosomal RNA is filed under the name uncultured cyanobacterium. RNAcentral's name for it is "bacterial SSU rRNA". It matches the Rfam family "Bacterial small subunit ribosomal RNA", at positions 28 to 419 of the family's 1533-position model. Lineage: Bacteria; Bacillati; Cyanobacteriota. The record is from RNAcentral.
GAUGAACGCUGGCGGUAUGCCUUAUACAUGCAAGUCGUACGAGAGUUUUAAACUUAAGUGGCGGACGGGUGAGUAACGCGUAAGAAUUUACCUUUAGGAGGGGGAUAACAACUGGAAACGGUUGCUAAUACCCCAUAGGCUUCUGAGUGAAAUGGAUUUCCGCCUAAAGAGAAGCUUGCGUCUGAUUAGCUUGUUGGUGAGGUAAUGGCUCACCAAGGCGACGAUCAGUAUCUGGUUUGAGAGGAUGAUCAGACACACUGGAACUGAGACACGGUCCAGACUCCUGCGGGAGGCAGCAGUAGGGAAUUUUCCGCAAUGGGCGAAAGCCUGACGGAGCAAUACCGCGUGAGGGAUGACUGCCUAU